This 253-nucleotide ribosomal RNA is filed under the name uncultured bacterium. RNAcentral describes it as "partial 16S ribosomal RNA". It matches the Rfam family "Bacterial small subunit ribosomal RNA", at positions 524 to 776 of the family's 1533-position model. The record is from RNAcentral.
AACGUAGGAGGCGAGCGUUAUCCGGAUUUACUGGGCGUAAAGCGCGUGUAGGCGGCUGGGCAAGUUGGCUGUGAAAGCUCCCGGCUUAACUGGGAGAGGUCGGUCAAAACUGCCUGGCUGGAGAUUGGUAGAGGGAGAUGGAAUUCCGGGUGUAGUGGUGAAAUGCGUAGAUAUCCGGAGGAACACCAGUGGCGAAAGCGAUCUCCUGGACCACAUCUGACGCUCGGACGCGAAAGCUAGGGGAGCGAACGGG